Molecule: ribosomal RNA, 481 nt
Filed under: uncultured bacterium
Lineage: Bacteria
Description: bacterial SSU rRNA
Rfam family: Bacterial small subunit ribosomal RNA
Source: RNAcentral
UUGAACGCUGGCGGCAUGCUUUACACAUGCAAGUCGAACGGUAACAGGUCUUCGGAUGCUGACGAGUGGCGAACGGGGUGAGUAAUGCAUCGGAACGUGCCCAGUCGUGGGGGAUAACGCAGCGAAAGCUGUGCUAAUACCGCAUACGAUCUAUGGAUGAAAGCGGGGGAUCGCAAGACCUCGCGCGAUUGGAGCGGCCGAUGUCAGAUUAGCUAGUUGGUGGGGUAAAGGCCCACCAAGGCGACGAUCUGUAGCUGGUCUGAGAGGACGACCAGCCACACUGGGACUGAGACACGGCCCAGACUCCUACGGGAGGCAGCAGUGGGGAAUUUUGGACAAUGGGGGAAACCCUGAUCCAGCAAUGCCGCGUGAGUGAAGAAGGCCUUCGGGUUGUAAAGCUCUUUUGUCAGGGAAGAAACACCGGCUCUAACACAGUCCGGGAAUGACGGUACCUGAAGAAUAAGCACCGGCUAACUACGUG